CAAUAGCGUAUAUUUAAGUUGUUGCAGUUGAAAAGCUCGUAGUUGGAUUUCGGGUGGGACGCAGCGGUCUCGCAUUGCGUUUGUACUGCUGCAGCCCUCCUUCUUGCCGGGGGCGGCCUCUCGGACUUCACUGUCUGGGGGUCAGAAUCGGCGAUGUUACUUUGAGUAAAUUAGAGUGUUCAAAGCAAGCUUACGCUCUGAAUAUAAUAGCAUGGGAUAACACGACAGGACUCUGGCCUAUCGUGUUGGUCUAUAGGACCAGAGUAAUGAUUAAGAGGGACAGUCGGGGGCAUUCGUAUUCCGUUGUCAGAGGUGAAAUUCUUGGAUUUACGGAAGACGAACAUCUGCGAAAGCAUUUGCCAAGGAUGUUUUCAUUGA
RNAcentral lists this ribosomal RNA (378 nucleotides) under uncultured eukaryote. Its description in RNAcentral is "partial 18S ribosomal RNA". It matches the Rfam family "Eukaryotic small subunit ribosomal RNA", at positions 592 to 976 of the family's 1831-position model. The record is from RNAcentral.